Molecule: long non-coding RNA, 245 nt
Filed under: Gossypium barbadense (sea-island cotton)
Lineage: Eukaryota; Viridiplantae; Streptophyta; Magnoliopsida; Malvales; Malvaceae
Description: long non-coding RNA (GBAR_LNC005454)
Source: RNAcentral
CCCAAGCCAUAUUUAGCAAAGUUGAAACCAUCAACUUUGCGACAUAGAUGGCCGGCCAAGGGGUGGCUCUUUGGCUGCUAUUCUUAGCAAAUUUUAGCUAUUACAUUCAGCUAUAAAAACCCCCUUGACUGAUCAUUCAAAGCACACCUCAAUUCAUUCACAUCUCUUCUCUCCUCUCUCACUUUCUCCUCUCAUUUUCCCAUUUCAAGUCCCUUGCUCUUCUGCUAAUUUCUCCCCUUGGGAAA